GGGGCUGCUGGUUCUUCCAGGAGCGCGCAUGAGCGGACGCUGCCUACUGGUGGCCGGGCGGGAUGUAACCGGCUGCUGAGCUGGCAGUUCUGUGUCGCUAGGCUUCUGCCCGGCCGCCGCCGCACAUAAGCCACGAGGAGGAGCUUUACGACUUCCCGGUCUUCGGCGCCGGGCGCAGCAAGGGCCAGACUCUGCGCUAGCAGGCGCUGCGCGCCAACCGGCCGGCACCUGUCGCAGAAGGUGCAACCGAUCGCACUGUCGCGCAGAAGCUCCUCAAUGGCCAGCGCCAGCUGCAGCCCCGGCCGCCCACUCGCCUCAUCUGAGCCUGGCAGAAGGUAAGCAUGAGCAAAUUACUUUUUAGAGGUAACUUUGCUGAACUUGUGAAGAAUGGUGUGCAAGGUCCAGAGCGACUGCAGGAGAGGGAAGGUGGGAUUCCCACAGAGCAGGAGCACAGAUAAGCCAAGCAAGGCCCUGCUUGGAAGGCAGCAAUCAACAGAGAUGCACAGACCUGUGAGGGUGCCGGGACAGCCAUGCAACAAUGCAGCCCUUUUGCUUCCUGAGCUCACCAGUUCCCUCGCUCCACCUCUGAGAGGUGGUUUGGAGAAACACAGCCCUUCUCAAGAGGGCUGCAAGCUACUUAAGUCCUGAAAAUUUCCACAAGGCUGAGUCAAAUCUGCGUUUCAUCAUCUAUAAGAAAGGUACCUAUCGAGAACACCCUGCUGGCCAGUGUGUAAAUAUCUAAAGGAGGACUCAGAAAACACCGGGGAAGUCCAGCCUGCACGUGGUGGCUGGGCUUCAGUGAAGCAUGCAGCACAACAGGAGUUAGCAGACCACAAAGAGCAUGUCUGGACCUAGAACCACAGCAUGUAACCUCGGAAGCAGUGAGACACCAGCCAGCAUGGACAAGCAGCAGGCACUUGCUCUAUACCAGGUGAGGGUGUGGAGACAUGACGUGGUGCAGGGACACCAGCACCCAGUCCUAGUUCUGGUCCCUCUCAGCCUUGUUAGGUCCUGGUUCCUAAGAUUCCAGGGAACAUCCCCACAGCCUCACAAUAAGAUCCUCCUUUCCUGCAUAUGCUAGCUUGGAUGGGAUCCUCUGUUCUGUAAUCAGUAUGGCAACAGAGCAGAUGAAAUAUUUAAUGGUCUUUCAUGAGCACUAAAUUUUGUUUUUUACAAACUAGGUUAGAUUCUGUCAAAUAAUCGUCUAAUGGUGUAUUCGAGUGUAUAUUAAGGAUCUGAUUCAUUCUAUACCCACUAACCAUAACCAAACAGAUUAAGUUUUCUUUCUCAGAAUCUAAUCCUUCAGUUUCUUGGAAGCUGGACUAGUUUCAGAGCAUCUACAAACAUUUCUGGAAUAUUUAACUUACCCUGAAAUAACAGACGAUAGACAGUAAUUCCCUAAAUUAUUUUCCCCAGUUGUUGCAAAAUAAAGCAAAUGCAGAGUUUCUAGGACUAUAAAAGGAACUCAACUUCCCGGAUCCUAGUAAAGAAACAGGAAACAGCUUGAAGCUCUCUGGUUUGUUUUAUGGCUCAUGAAAAAGCUUUAGCCCAACUUGGCAAAAGAAAGGCAGGGAAAGAGUUCAUAUGGCUCUGCACAAACCCAACCCAAUUACUAAUUUCAUGUUAGCCACUCUUUAUGUGGAAUGAGAGGGCUCACAGAUGCCCUGCCCUCCAAAACACGCCACAGGGAGGACACAUUCCCAUCAGCAUCAGGGGUUCAUGCUAACACAGAGAAAAUGCGUAUGACUGCAGGAGUCCAUGCUUGGUUUAAAUAGCCCUGCUGUUGACUCAGAUAUGUACAGGUAGGCAGGAACCACACACUGUACACAUAUACCACAUGCCACCACACACCAUACAUCCCACAGACCAAUGUGUGCAUAAAUACAUGCACAACCAUACAUACACACCAUACAUACAACACACAUACACCAUACACACAACACACACCAAUGUGUGCACAAAUACACAGCCACAUACCACAUGCACAUGCAAGCACACACAAUGGAGAAUCACUGCCUCAAAAGCUCCUCAUAUGCUAUUAUCUGUCAGAAUGUGAACCAUAGAUCUGAUAUUGCAAAAGAAAUGUGUUUUAUGCAACUUUAUUAAUACAUUUAUUUAAUGUGACUCCAUAUUCAACAGAAACAAUCCAAGAUACUCUCUUAUUUAUAAUAGAAUACUUACUUCUUUUGUGCUUUCUUUAUGGACAUAGAUCCAUUUUUCAUGAUAAAAACCUAGAAUAAAAAUUACCUUUGUUUUUAAAAUCUGGCAAAUCAUUUCAAAAUGAAGAUUUUAAAGGAAUUUAAAUAAUUGGACAUAUUAACAAAAUUAUCUGACUUACUAUAUUGACAAGAAAUGCUUUUACUUGGUUGAAUGCAAACAGAAUUGCUUUGUUUCUUAAAUCAGUUUAAGAUAUGAACAAUGAUUUCAGACAGUACCAAGUCCUAGUAACUUAGAAGAAAAUUAGUAUUAUUAAUGACUGAAGCCAUAUGAAGACAUAAAUGAUUAUAAAAUGCAAUUACAUUACUACAUUCCUAUGUACCCUAAUAAAAAGUUCUAUUCUUCUGUUGCUGUGUAUAGUACUCCAUAGAAACAAAUUUUUCAGAUAAAUCUUAAAAGUUUCAAGAAUCACACUAACUGUAUUCUCCAUGUGACCCUAUCUUCUUCAUAAAGUAGUCCCCCCGUAUUCACAGUUUCAUCUUCUACAGUUUCAAUUACCCACAGUCAGCUUUGGUUUGAAAACAUUAAGUGGAAAAUUCCAGAAAUAAACCAUUCAUAAGUUUUAAAUUGUGUGCCAUUCUGGGUGGUGUCAUGAAAUCUCACACCGUCCUGCUCUGUCCUGCCUGGGAUGCAAAUCCUCCCUUUGUCAAGCGAGUCCUACACUACCCGCCCCUUGGUCACUCAGUAGCCGUCUUGGUUAUCGGAUCACCUGUUGAGAUAUCACAGUGCUUGUGUUUAAAGAACCCUUAUUGCACUUCAUAAUAGCCCCAAAGUGCAAGAGCAGUGAUGGUGGCCAUCUUGCUAUAACUGUUUCAUUUUAUUAUUAUUCUCGUUAAUCUCUUACUGCACCUAAUUUAUAAAUUAAACUUUAUUAUAAGUGUGUAUAUACAGAAAAAAAAACAUAGUAUCCAUAAGGUUUGGUAGUAUCCACAGUUUCAGGCAUCCACUGGAGGUCUAUCCCCUGAGGUAAGGAAGCCUACUAUACAUUAACAUGUGUCUUGGUAACUCACAGAUAUGCUGCAUGAUAGAACGCUAUGCCCUCUCACAGAUAGGUCCCACCUCCAGCCUUCCCCUGCUGCCAUCUAACAUCCUAAACUCCAGCUCUGAAUGUCUGUCUCCUGCUCUGAAUCUUCAGUGACUUCGAAACUCAAGUCAGGACACCUCUCAGUUUGGCCUCACUGCUCAAGAUUGAGCUGAAUUCAUGACCAUAAUUCAAGCAUUCAGAUUCAUGGGCUGUUUUGUGGGUUUUGCUAUCUCUUAUUUUGUUUUUGCACAUCUUACCCACUGAAACGUUGGGCUGCAAAAAGUUUGAUCACUAAAUAUGUAGGCAAUGCUGGAUACUGGGCUGUUAUUUACAUAUUUGUAUCACCUUUUAUUUCAUAAGAUAGCAUUGUCAGAGUAAUUUAGUAUUUCAACAUAAUCAACAAGUAAAAUAAAAUUAAUGAGAAUGAUCUUA
Molecule: long non-coding RNA, 3673 nt
Filed under: Homo sapiens (human)
Lineage: Eukaryota; Metazoa; Chordata; Mammalia; Primates; Hominidae
Description: HSALNT0289595
Source: RNAcentral